AUUGAACGCUGGCGGCAGGCCUAACACAUGCAAGUCGAACGGUAACAGGAAACAGCUUGCUGUUUCGCUGACGGGUGGCGGACGGGUGAGUAAUGUCUGGGAAACUGCCCGAUGGAGGGGGAUAACUACUGGAAACGGUAGCUAAUACCGCAUAACGUCGCAAGACCAACGACGGGGACCUUCGGGCCUCUUUCCAUCGGAUGUGCCCAGAUGGGAUUAGCUAGUAGGUGGGGUAACGGCUCACCUAGGCGACGAUCCCUAGCGUGGUCUGAGAGGAUGACCAGCCACACUGGAACUGAGACACGGUCCAGACUCCUACGGGAGGCAGCAGUGGGGAAUAUUGCACAAUGGGCGCAAGCCUGAUGCAGCCAUGCCGCGUGUAUGAAGAAGGCCUUCGGGUUGUAAAGUACUUUCAGCGGGGAGGAAGGGAGUAAAGUUAAUACCUUUGCUCAUUGACGUUACCCGCAGAAGAAGCACCGGCUAACUCCGUGCCAGCAGCCGCGGUAA
Molecule: ribosomal RNA, 507 nt
Filed under: uncultured bacterium
Lineage: Bacteria
Description: partial 16S ribosomal RNA
Rfam family: Bacterial small subunit ribosomal RNA
Source: RNAcentral